UGGGGAAUAUUGGUCAAUGGGGGCAACCCUGAACCAGCAACGCCGCGUGAAGGAAGAAGGUCUUCGGAUUGUAAACUUUUGUCGUAUAGGACGAAGGAAGUGACGGUACUAUACAAGAAAGCCACGGCUAACUACGUGCCAGCAGCCGCGGUAAUACGUAGGUGGCGAGCGUUGUCCGGAUUUACUGGGUGUAAAGGGCGUGUAGGCGGAUCUGCAAGUCAGAUGUGAAAUACCGAUGCUUAACAUCGGGGCUGCAUUUGAAACUGUAGACCUUGAGUGCAGGAGAGGAAAGCGGAAUUCCUAGUGUAGCGGUGAAAUGCGUAGAUAUUAGGAGGAACACCAGUGGCGAAGGCGGCUUUCUGGACUGUAACUGACGCUGAGGCGCGAAAGCGUGGGUAGCAAACAGG
RNAcentral lists this ribosomal RNA (407 nucleotides) under uncultured bacterium. RNAcentral's name for it is "bacterial SSU rRNA". It matches the Rfam family "Bacterial small subunit ribosomal RNA", at positions 355 to 776 of the family's 1533-position model. The record is from RNAcentral.